RNAcentral lists this transfer RNA (72 nucleotides) under Bacteroidia bacterium. RNAcentral describes it as "tRNA-Gln". It matches the Rfam family "tRNA". Rfam says of the family: Transfer RNA (tRNA) molecules are approximately 80 nucleotides in length. Their secondary structure includes four short double-helical elements and three loops (D, anti-codon, and T loops). Lineage: Bacteria; Pseudomonadati; Bacteroidota; Bacteroidia. The record is from RNAcentral.
UGUCCUAUGGUGUAAUGGUAACACAUCAGAUUCUGGAUCUGACAUUCUAGGUUCGAGCCCUAGUGGGACAAC